This is a long non-coding RNA of Ornithodoros turicata, 363 nucleotides long. RefSeq lists it as uncharacterized. The transcript is spliced from 3 exons. Lineage: Eukaryota; Metazoa; Arthropoda; Arachnida; Ixodida; Argasidae. The record is from RefSeq and is a predicted model, not a curated record.
GCGGAAAUGAAGCAUGAUCUGGCUUGCAUCUGGUCAUGAAGAAAUUGCUGACACGUUAGUUGCAGUCCACCUCCACCAACAGGGUGGAAAACAAAGGUCGCCAUUCCGAUUAGCUGCUAUCUCCCAGUUCAAGCACUUUUGUGUCUGGACACUGGUUCCUGUGGAUGGGGUGUUACAAGCUUCACUGUCUGAUAUAGAAGACUCAGAACGGUUAAUUUGGAUCAGGUCAGGUACGUUUCAUUUAGACAUGGCAAACAUAAAGUGGUGUUUCUCAACACAACUUAGCAGUGGUCUUCAUGCAUUACUGCUACGGCCAUUAAGCGUGAAUAGAAACCUGCACAUUAUCCAUGAUGUAAAACCCUA